AGAUGGGAGGGUGAUCUGUUGUGAUGUCUGUCACCCCAUUAAUCAGCUGAUUCGGCUGAUCUGGCUGGCUAGGUGGCCCCUCCUCCCUCACUGCUCCAUGUGCAGCCAAUCCUGAAGCUGUAUGCUCAAAGAGGAUGACCUUCCCUGAAUAAAGGAGGUCUGGUCUUCUGUCAAGGGUAUGAGUAGCUUCACUCACAGAUGCUAGCCCCAGACUACUAUACCCAGCAAAACUUCCAAUCACAAUAGAUGAAGAAAAUAAGACAUUCCAUGAUU
Molecule: small nuclear RNA, 273 nt
Filed under: Peromyscus maniculatus bairdii (prairie deer mouse)
Lineage: Eukaryota; Metazoa; Chordata; Mammalia; Rodentia; Cricetidae
Description: 7SK RNA (ENSPEMG00000002157.2)
Rfam family: 7SK RNA
About the family: 7SK was discovered as an abundant small nuclear RNA in the mid-70s but a possible function has only recently been suggested. Two independent studies have found that 7SK RNA binds the CDK9/cyclin T complex (known as elongation factor P-TEFb).
Source: Rfam by way of RNAcentral